GACGAACGCUGGCGGCGUGCUUAACACAUGCAAGUCGAACGGAAAGGCCCUGCUUUUGUGGGGUGCUCGAGUGGCGAACGGGUGAGUAACACGUGAGUAACCUGCCCUUGACUUUGGGAUAACUUCAGGAAACUGGGGCUAAUACCGGAUAGGAGCUCCUGCUGCAUGGUGGGGGUUGGAAAGUUUCUGCGGUUGGGGAUGGACUCGCGGCUUAUCAGCUUGUUGGUGGGGUAGUGGCUUACCCAGGCUUUGACGGGUAGCCGGCCUGAGAGGGUGACCGGGCACAUUGGGACUGAGAUACGGCCCAGACUCCUACGGGGGGCAGCAGUGGGGAAUGUUGCACAAUGGGCGGAAGCGUGAUGCAGCAACGCCGGGUGCGGGAUGACGGCCUUCGGGGUGUAAACCGCUUUCGCCUGUGACGAAGCGGGGAUGACGGUAAUGGGUGAAGAAGCACCGGCUAACUACGUG
Molecule: ribosomal RNA, 468 nt
Filed under: uncultured bacterium
Lineage: Bacteria
Description: partial 16S ribosomal RNA
Rfam family: Bacterial small subunit ribosomal RNA
Source: RNAcentral